This is a long non-coding RNA of Onthophagus taurus, 974 nucleotides long. RefSeq lists it as uncharacterized. The record is from RefSeq and is a predicted model, not a curated record. Lineage: Eukaryota; Metazoa; Arthropoda; Insecta; Coleoptera; Scarabaeidae.
GCCACCUUCGGUUUCAUUUAUUCUUUUGUUCGAAAUGUUACGCACAAAUGCGGCUUCCAUCGCAACAAGAAACCCAAUAACAAUUUAUUCCUUGGUAAUUAAAUUUCCUUUAAAACGUUGUAAUACACACUUUUAGAAAUCGAGUUCUUAUAAAUAAUCGUCAUUUAUUACGAGUUGAAAAGCACAGAUUUAAUUGAAGAGUAAUUGCCUCAUUAAUUAUCAGGACUAAAACCAGAUGUUCAACGUCGACACAUACCUAAUCAAUGUUAAUGUUACCAGUUAAAUCAGAUGUGAUAACUUAUCGUCUUUUACAAACUACUUUAGUACCGGUGAUUUAAGUGUCCAAGCAGAUAUGGACUGGUUCGGUGCGAACUUAAUCCGUAACCGUAGCAAUUGGAGGGUGGAAAUACCCGUGGGCUAUGCGAAAGUUAUAUUGGGAAAAUGGGGAGAAGUAGAAAAUUGUCUUUGGACCGGAAGUUCUGUGUAGCAACGGAGGCUGUAGAUUUUAUCGAAACGGCCUUCCUAAGAUCACGUUAAACUGCGCCACGACGAUUCUUGUCCUUUGAUAAUGCGAAUGAAACCAUUUGAAUUUGAUAAUAGAAACAGAAUGAAGCCAAUUUUACCCUUUCUAAUAAUAUCCCUGUACCAGUAACAGUAUCAUUUUCUCUUAUUAUCUUGAUUAUAGAAAGUAUGUUACUGGCGUUAUUGAUAUUUCGAGCACUCACACUAAUUAAAUUCUCGGUAUUGUUAGUAGAUAAAUACCAACGUUAAUCCCGCGUUGAAAACUAUGCGUUGCAUGUUCAUUUUGAUUUGGAGCUUGAUUGUGAUAUAAAAUCGAUUACAAUUAAUUAAUUCGGUUUCGUUUUACUGUUCAGAAUUAUAAUUGCAAUUUAAUUUUCUAUUUGGUCACUAUAAAUAUUCGACGUUUUUGUUGGUAUUGUUCACAUUUCACAUCAAAUAUAUUAUAAAAUAGG